Molecule: non-coding RNA, 125 nt
Organism: Triticum aestivum (bread wheat)
Lineage: Eukaryota; Viridiplantae; Streptophyta; Magnoliopsida; Poales; Poaceae
Source: Rfam
UUAGUACUCCCUCCGUCCGGAAAUACUUGUCGGAAGAAUGGAUGUAUCUAGAUGUAUUUUAGUUCUAAGUACAUCCAUUUUUAUUCAUUUUUUUGACAAGUAUUUUUGGACGGAGGGAGCGCGAA